UUGGCAGCCUUCAAGUAGGCUUCGCUAUGGGCAGCAAGAAUUGGAGGAUGGGAACUGAGCCAAAAUGAAGUGGACAGGUUUUCUUCCCUUUUGCAUUGCACAUCUUGGACCAAACAUCCUUUAUCUUUGAAAAGUACUGAUAUGAAAUACACUCAUCACUAAUAAGGCUGAACAGAGCAAAAGAUGCAGGAUUUGUCAUGCUCCCUUUUGGCCAGCUUCUCUUCUCCAGGGCUUCACUGGAAUAUGAAGGCUGUGGCAGAACUGCUGUAAUUGGUGCACUCUUGAAAAUAUGAUGAUAUAAAUAACCAAAAUGAGCCUGAAGUGGAGGGGACGUCAGAGAUUUUUUGGUCUGCUCCUUGAGGUAUAACAUGAAACUCGGAGAUUUAACAAAAUCUUCUCUCCCACCCAUCACUGAUGGAGCCUCAGAAGUAACUGUUAAUAGCUGGAACAGUGCCUCAGCCAGCCCCUUUGGUGGCUCCAAGGGCAGGCUUUCCCUUGGUCUAGCCUGCCUUCUCUUACCUCUGCCAGCACGCCUGAUUUUAAAGUAAUCUUACAAGCUGAGGAGCUCAUGCGCGUGUCUGAACCUGGAGGAGGAAUUGCUUCAUCACUGGAGGGGAAGGAAAAGGCAUCAAGGUGCAAGGGCCGUCCCACCAACACAAGACUCCCUCCUUUGGCAGUCUCUCACACCAAACCUGCAGCCCUUCACCCACAGAGUUUGCAUAAGAGAGAAGCAAGAAUAAGAUGCUCAGCUCCCCUGUGCCCCAGGCUGGUGCCUAUCAGUGACGGUAAGGAGUCUGACUGUUCCCCCCACACGUCAGCUGGGUGCGAUGCAACCACACCUAGGCUAGCUCUCAAUGAGCUGUCUUUGCUUCUCCAGCACUGAAAAACCACAGUGGUGCCCGCGUGGUCCAACCGCUCUGAGUGUUUGCUGAGUUUCUCAGGGCUCUUUGCAUCCCACGCCGCAUUUGGUGGAGGCUAGCUAGCGAGCUAGGUAAUUUAGAGCAGGUUAUAUAUGUGUGGCUGACCCAUGAAAAGGUUUGCUUUCUCCAUGGUAUGCAAAAUCUGUGGGGCUGGCAUUAUAAUUCCGUACAAUGCCCCAUCAGCGUGGGUUUCUGGCCAGGGGGAGGCUUGUUGCUGCUGCUGUUACACAAGA
This 1153-nucleotide long non-coding RNA is filed under the name Anas zonorhyncha (Eastern spot-billed duck). Its description in RNAcentral is "lncRNA (ENSAZOG00000007795.1)". The record is from RNAcentral. Lineage: Eukaryota; Metazoa; Chordata; Aves; Anseriformes; Anatidae.